UACGUAGGUGGCAAGCGUUGUCCGGAAUUAUUGGGCGUAAAGCGCGCGCAGGCGGCUUCUUAAGUCUGAUGUGAAAUCUCGGGCUCAACCCCGAGCGGCCAUUGGAAACUGGGAGCUUGAGUACAGAAGAGGAGGAGUGGAAUUCCACGUGUAGCGGUGAAAUGCGUAGAUAUGUGGAGGAACACCAGUGGCGAAGGCGACUCUCUGGUCUGUAACUGACGCUGAGGCGCGAAAAGCGUGGGGAGCAAACAGG
This 253-nucleotide ribosomal RNA is filed under the name uncultured bacterium. Its description in RNAcentral is "partial 16S ribosomal RNA". It matches the Rfam family "Bacterial small subunit ribosomal RNA", at positions 524 to 776 of the family's 1533-position model. The record is from RNAcentral.